UACGGAGGAUGCAAGCGUUAUCCGGAAUGAUUGGGCGUAAAGCGUCCGCAGGUGGCAGUUCAAGUCUGCUGUCAAAGACCGGGGCUUAACUUCGGAAAGGCAGUGGAAACUGAACAGCUAGAGUAUGGUAGGGGCAGAGGGAAUUCCUGGUGUAGCGGUGAAAUGCGUAGAGAUCAGGAAGAACAUCGGUGGCGAAGGCGGGUCUCUGGGCCGAUACUGACGCUGAGGAGCGAAAGCGUGGGUAGCGAACAGG
This 253-nucleotide ribosomal RNA is filed under the name uncultured bacterium. RNAcentral's name for it is "partial 16S ribosomal RNA". It matches the Rfam family "Bacterial small subunit ribosomal RNA", at positions 524 to 776 of the family's 1533-position model. The record is from RNAcentral.